AUUCCAGCUCCAAUAGCGUAUAUUAAAGUUGUUGCAGUUAAAAAGCUCGUAGUUGGAUUUCUGGCAGGAGCGACCGGUCACACACUCUGUGUGUGAACUUGCGUUGUCUCUGGCCAUCCUCGGGGAGAUCCUGUUUGGCAUUAAGUUGUCGGGCAGGGGAUACCCGUCGUUUACUGUGAAAAAAUUAGAGUGUUUAAAGCAGGCUUAUGCCGUUGAAUAUAUUAGCAUGGAAUAAUAAGAUAGGACUUCGGAACUAUUUUGUUGGUUUGCGUUACGAAGUAAUGAUUGAUAGGGAUAGUUGGGGGUGCUAGUAUUCAGCGGCCAGAGGUGAAAUUCUUGGAUUCGCUGAAGACUAACUUAUGCGAAAGCAUUCACCAAGGAUGUCUUCAUUA
Molecule: ribosomal RNA, 392 nt
Filed under: Thalassiosira sp.
Lineage: Eukaryota; Bacillariophyta; Thalassiosirophyceae; Thalassiosirales; Thalassiosiraceae
Description: partial small subunit ribosomal RNA
Rfam family: Eukaryotic small subunit ribosomal RNA
Source: RNAcentral